UGACCGUCCCUAGAGCAAGUGGCAAAAAAUUUAGUGGUUAGUAUCGAGAUCCAAAUUCGAAUCCUAGUUGAUUCACAUUUCAAGCAAAAUUUAUUUUUAAAUGAAAUAAACGAAACAGGUAGCAUACUACUUAUCUCUCAAAUAAAUAAAUAAAUAAAUAAAAUUGCAUAUUUAUUCCUGCAAAAUUUUAUAAUCAAAUGUAUUUGUUCGAAAUUGCAUAGUUUGUAAUUAAAUUUUU
This 238-nucleotide long non-coding RNA is filed under the name Ananas comosus (pineapple). Its description in RNAcentral is "long non-coding RNA (ACOM_LNC016002)". The record is from RNAcentral. Lineage: Eukaryota; Viridiplantae; Streptophyta; Magnoliopsida; Poales; Bromeliaceae.